UACGUAGGGGGCAAGCGUUGUCCGGAUUUAUUGGGCGUAAAGAGCGUGUAGGCGGCCACACAGGUCAGCUGUGAAAACUCGAGGCUCAACCUCGAGACGUCGGUUGAAACCGUAUGGCUAGAGUCCGGAAGAGGAGAGUGGAAUUCCCGGUGUAGCGGUGAAAUGCGCAGAUAGUCGGGAAAGAACACCCGUGGCGAAGGCGGCUCUCUGGGACGGUACUGACGCUGAGACGCGAAAGCGUGGGGAGCGAACAGG
RNAcentral lists this ribosomal RNA (255 nucleotides) under uncultured bacterium. RNAcentral describes it as "partial 16S ribosomal RNA". It matches the Rfam family "Bacterial small subunit ribosomal RNA", at positions 524 to 776 of the family's 1533-position model. The record is from RNAcentral.